Non-coding RNA from Chelonoidis abingdonii (Abingdon island giant tortoise), 533 nucleotides. The record is from RefSeq and is a predicted model, not a curated record. Lineage: Eukaryota; Metazoa; Chordata; Testudines; Testudinidae.
UGGAAACUUUCUGGGUUUGAAGUUGAAUUCUAGGGGCAGGGUGGACUAGUCCUGUCCUGGGACAAUCCAAUAUUCAAAGAAAUUCUAUUUGCAGCCUAUAUUAUGAAGCACUAAGAAGCUGGGAUUGGUAUGUUGAAGGUAAAUUUUAUAAACAGUUUAUAAAGGGUGAAUGGGUGAUGUCUUAGUAAAUAGUUAUUCAAGGGUUGAAUGUCAUAAGUCAAUAUGAUCCUUAACCAUGGCUAGCUCUGUUCAAUUAGCCAUACCCUGCCAUGCCACACCUGUGCAGGCUGUAGGAUUUUUAAGAAUGGAUGAAGCCAGCAAAGGUGGGCCUAUCAGAAAGAGCUACAGGGGUGUGGCAAGUUCCUGUAGCGAGCCCUGAAACAAAGGCUAGGCUCCGGGAAGGCAGCCUUGGGGGCCAGUGUUCCUGAAGAAGACCAGGGAGAGGAAGAAGUGGUGAGUGACUUCUUCUAUUUUAGGGGAGAUAUAGUUUAGUCCUGGAGACAAAAAUCUAGUUUUCUCUGAGACAAAAAUCU